CAGAUCAGACCUUAAUGCUGCGACGUCUUGAAGAGUUUGGCGAUGUUGUGCGUAGCAUGGACAACAAAAUGGACACUAUGCUGCAACAUUUCAGUGCCAAUGUGUCUGUUGGAGAGUUAUCCCUGCCAGGGGAUCUGUUACUCCCCCCUAGACACCCAGGAAGAUUUGGCGUUGCUUGACAACAGUUUGAGGCAGGAUAAAGAGCUCCAGGAACGAUUUCUUCGGUUUUUGGCAAGCAAAUGUGGGAGGGACCUAAAGACAACCGUCUGGCGGAUGCUUCAAAGUAUCUUCUCUAAUCACCUUUCCAUCAAUACAACCUGGACUGGAGUUGGGGAUAAAGCAUGAUUUAGAGACAUGUUCCUUAAGACCAUUGUUCAAAGAGCCAUCCGGAAGAACCCGGCAACCCAGGAUGCCACUGAUGAAGCCGUCCAGGUUAACGUUACGUGUUACCUGAAAGGAGCAUCUGACCGUGAAGGCGGAAAAAGGCGCCACACAGCUGAGAGGGACCCACAGCCGACCCCUUAAACCUAGGCUGACUACUGACACCCCAGCAUCACUGACAACUGGAACCCUUUCUUUAUCCUGCAGUCAGUAACAUCAAGACCCCUAAAGAAGCCAGAAGUGUCAGACUGCACUCACCCAAUCCACACUGUUCACUGUAUAUAUUAUCAUAGUGCUUAACUCUUAUUAUAUUGUUAAAUAUAGCUUGUAAAUCCUUGUGCCACAGGUCAGCAUUGCAGUUAUAUCUGUUCUACUACUGAUUUUACCUCAGUAUUUUAUAU
This is a long non-coding RNA of Carassius carassius (crucian carp), 782 nucleotides long. RefSeq lists it as uncharacterized. The record is from RefSeq and is a predicted model, not a curated record. The transcript has 3 exons. Lineage: Eukaryota; Metazoa; Chordata; Actinopteri; Cypriniformes; Cyprinidae.